This 75-nucleotide transfer RNA is filed under the name Candidatus Colwellbacteria bacterium GWA2_46_10. RNAcentral's name for it is "tRNA-Gly". It matches the Rfam family "tRNA". Rfam says of the family: Transfer RNA (tRNA) molecules are approximately 80 nucleotides in length. Their secondary structure includes four short double-helical elements and three loops (D, anti-codon, and T loops). Further hydrogen bonds mediate the characteristic L-shaped molecular structure. tRNAs have two regions of fundamental functional importance: the anti-codon, which is responsible for specific mRNA codon recognition, and the 3' end, to which the tRNAs corresponding amino acid is attached (by aminoacyl-tRNA synthetases). tRNAs cope with the degeneracy of the genetic code in two manners: having more than one tRNA (with a specific anti-codon) for a particular amino acid; and 'wobble' base-pairing, i.e. permitting non-standard base-pairing at the 3rd anti-codon position. Lineage: Bacteria; Candidatus Colwelliibacteriota. RNAcentral also lists the same sequence under 1 other name. The record is from RNAcentral.
GCGGGUGUCGUAUAGUGGCUAUUAUAUUACCUUGCCAAGGUAGGGACGGGAGUUCGAUUCUCCUCACCCGCUCCA